UCUUCAUACUCCACAAAAAAUCACCUUGCCUUAGAGAGACAAAGACAAGAUUGUCAGAUAAAUGCAGCGAAGCAGAAACGUGUUCAACGUGCCAGGAACGUUUUAGACAUUGGGUGUUGGCAUCAAUUUUGAAUGUUGGAUUUGACAGCUCAACUGCUGCCAAUAAAUUGGCAAAUAAGCCCUACGCCGAUGAGAUAUUCUUGAUUUUUGUGAGCCGGUUGUGUGGACGAUUAAUUAUACGUGUGUAUAUAUAUAUAUAUAUAUAUAUUAUCCUGCAUGAGAUCGCGGGCUAUGACUUCGAACCACCAUUGCGGGUAUGGUCUAUGCCUGUUUGAGGCUGAACUUACCCUCUUUGAGUCAAAUAGCCAUGUCCAUUAUGUAUACUAAACUUGAUUUGACCUUAAUUUGAGUAGAAUAGUAGCAUUCUUUCAACCAUUACUCCAUAUAAAUAUACCAACUGUAAUUUGAUUCGUGUUAUUCACGUUUGUUUAUCUUUUAUAUAGAAUUUCCAAAUUUUCUAUAAAGUUACCAACCUUUAGUUAUUUUUCUUAUCGACUUGUUAGACAUUACCAACCUUAAUCAUAGUGAUUUACCAAAUUUUGUCUUAUUAGGUGACCAAGUUUUCGUUCCCUACUCUUAUUUAAAAUUCGUUGUCAAUUUUUAUUUGAUUUGAUUUAAUUAAAUUUACGAACUUCUCUUAUCUCUAUUAAUUAAAAGCUUCUCUUAUUUUUUACAAAAUCUUGUUUACCUCUCUCAUGGAAGUCUUGAAUUUUCCAAUUACUACAUUAAAUUAUUUUAAGUGAUUUACCAACUUUUCUCCAAUUAACAUACUAACAAGUUUUGGCUUUAUUCUGUGACUUUUUCCAUCACUUGAUCCAAAGACUUAUCAAAUUACGACUCAAACGACAUCCAUUUAACGUUAUCAAGUGAAAUGUUCCCUUCAUAAACCACUACACAAAAUAGCUUAGUUUUGUAGCUGUACAUAGAACUUUUUAAACGUUAAAACAAAAGGCACAUUAUAACAAGAAAUAAGUAUAUUAAAAGUCCCACAACUAGCCCUGAAAUCGCACUUGAGUCCUAAAUUUUCAGAAAAUGUAAUUAAACCCUAAAAUUUGUUAAAUUUAUGCAAUUAAAACCGUCUGAUUUUUUCUUGGGGGUGGGAAAAUUCAUAUGUUCACUCCGCCUGAUUUGAUUAACAAAACAUGUUGAAAUUGUUUUUAUUUUUAAUUUUUCCUUAAGAUAAGGGACGUUGAUGUGGCACCAUCUAAGCUCCACAUUAAGAAAAAAAAGUUGAAAAUUUGAUUGGAAAAAAGAUAAAAUGAUGAAAUCGCGAAUAAAAUCCCCCCUCUCAUUUUCGAAAAAGCUUGGAGAAAGAGUCCACUAGAACUAAGCCACAAAACAGGAAGAAGUUGAAAGCUCGCACAUGGAAGAGCCAUUUGCAAGUCACCAUUCUAUCGCCAAAUGUCCUCCUCCAUGACACAGGUCGGACCCUUAAUUUUUCACUCUUCCAGUUUGAUCGCAUGCACAUGCGGAUACCAUUCAGUGAAACCCAAUACACAUACUAACUGAAUUUGGACCGUCAUUGAUAGUAUUGGGUAUGCGACCCUUUGCGCUCUAAUACCAAUUGUUGGAUAUGGAGAAGCGUUGCGGUGAUCACACGUGAGAAUUAUAAUAGACAACAAAAAAACACACUUGAUAUGUUAGCUUGCAUUACAAAUAUAGCACUCAGAAUAAUCACUCUAACACAACUUUUACAAUAUACUCUUUCACACCAUGUACUCAAUAUACUCACACCCAAACUAGUUGAUGCAUUCACAUACACAGUUAUUCUAUCUUUCAUUCUCGAUCACGGAAUGAUAACUUGCUCACACUGAACUAUUGAGGCUGUAGUACCUCUCAGUUAGAAGUUCACCAUUGCACUUGGUGAUUUCCUGUUUUGAAACUUUCACUGUCGGAGGCUUCCCUGAAGCUCACAUACAUGUGGCUUUCCUAAAGCUCACCUUUGCACCUGGUGGCUUCCUCUCUAGCCUGAGUUUCUCCGCUUGCGUAUGGCCUGAGGCCCUCUCCCUGGCCUGAGGCUCUUUCCUUGAGUCUCUGUUCUGCUUGCAGUGGCUUGCGGCUGUUAAGCCUUUCUGAGACCUUUCAGCCUUGAGGUACUUUUGCCUUUGAGGCACUUUGGCCUGUUGACCUGAGGUUGCGGUGCCUCUAUGUGAGGCCUU
This 2219-nucleotide long non-coding RNA is filed under the name Eucalyptus grandis. RNAcentral's name for it is "long non-coding RNA (EGRA_LNC000367)". The record is from RNAcentral. Lineage: Eukaryota; Viridiplantae; Streptophyta; Magnoliopsida; Myrtales; Myrtaceae.